GGACGUGCGUGUGUGUGGAGAGUGGCUGUGAAAGCGACACGGGCUCUGUGGGAAGAGAAGUAAGGAGGACUUCUGGGAAGGAAACGAGGUUCUCGGAUGAGCAGGGGCUGUGAUAUGAAAGUGAUCAAGAGAUGGGACCAUCUAGUUGCAAGAGAACAAGCUCAGGGCUCCCCCUGAUUCUACAUGAUGGAUUUCAGGAAGAUAAAAUAGCCGUGGCAUUUUGAAAACCAGCUCAGAAGAUAUAAGCAUAUGAAAUGGUGAGUGUUUGGUGAACCGCACGGUAGAGUGGUUAAGCAUUUGGUCUUCUGAGUCAGUCGAAACUUUGGCUUAAGGCCCAACUGCAUCAUUUACUAGCUGUGUGACCUUCAGCAAGUGACUUACCUUAUCUGAGCUCCAAUAUCCUUAUCUCUAUACUGGGGGUAAAGUUACCAACCUCCUAAAAUAUUGUGAAGAUUUCUGGAAAUGGUGUUUAUAAAGUAUUGGUGCGGUUCUUGGCAAAUGCUUCAAACUCAAUAAAUGGAAGCUGCCAUCGUCAGUGUCAUCAUCAUCAUCGUUACCAUCAUCACCACCACUGAUGUCAUUAUCAGGAGGAAGAAAAGAAGAAGGAAACAUUUUCUAGGCUUUUAAAACUUGUUUCAUCCACUUCUGACCUCAGAAUAAUUACAAUAAUCUAUUACUGUGUCAUAAUAUCUAAAAGAACCUAUCUCUACCAUUGUGGGAGGAACCAUAUUAGUUCAGCAGAGUAACUGGGUUCACGCUGCCUUCUCUACCUUCUCAGGCUUCUCUGUGAGGCUUGGUAGAACGAUUUACUCUUCUUCCUGCAUUCUUACUGUGUGGAGUCUGUGUGCCUCCAGUUAGCCCUCGCCUCAUUACCCUUUCCUGUGUCAACAGCUGUGAUUGAUAUCGGGAUGGAUUCGAAGUGAGGCAGCUAGCAGCGUGACCUUGAGCAAAUCAGUUCAUUUCACUGGGGCUUUGUCUCUUCAUCUGGACACUGGGGUCGUAUCACCCACCUCACAAGGUUACAUGAGAUGGUUUUCCCAGCAUGUAAUAGGUUCUCAUAAAGAUCAUAGUUACUAGAAUUAGUGGACGUGUCUGGUUUUCCCACUGUAUUGUAAACGUGUUAAGGACUGUAUUAGUCUGCGCUCAUGCUGCUAAUAAAGUCAUACCUGAGACUG
Molecule: long non-coding RNA, 1175 nt
Organism: Homo sapiens (human)
Lineage: Eukaryota; Metazoa; Chordata; Mammalia; Primates; Hominidae
Product: long intergenic non-protein coding RNA 2299
Source: Ensembl